Molecule: long non-coding RNA, 797 nt
Organism: Ipomoea triloba (trilobed morning glory)
Lineage: Eukaryota; Viridiplantae; Streptophyta; Magnoliopsida; Solanales; Convolvulaceae
Exons: 2
Source: RefSeq, a predicted model, not a curated record
UUCGUAGAUGGAUGAAGAAAUGUUGAAUUGAGCGUGUGCUCCAGUUACUCAGUUAGAUUGUUUCGAAAAUGGCUGCUGCGCUUGCUAGCUCCGACAAUCGAGCACCGGUAGGUAAGCAUUGUAGAGUAAAGGAGUCGAAUUUUGUCGAACUGAAGUCGAGGAUGUUUACUUGUUGCAUUUUAUUAUUAUUAUUUUGGAGAUCCAAGGCCUAACAGGAAUGAAAGAUCAAAUUUGAGUUGAAUAAAUAAUAACAAUAAAGCUUGAAUUUGAUCUGAACAAGUUUUAUUGUCGUGUUGGCAUAGCCGAUUUUGGCGUGCUUUGAUGCUUUGGAAUGUGAUAAUGUGGCCGGGACCAGUAUGACUUGAUUUUGAAGAUGAAGCAUUUGUUGAUGAUGAGGAUCAAGUGUUGGAUGUGCUUCUAAAUUCAAUCCAGUGCCAGACUGUCCACAAUGAUACCCGCCCUAUGUUGCCUGAUGACAAGGAGCCUCAAGCACAUUUUGUUGGAGAUUGUAAAACUUGUGCACUUUUUUCUUGUUUAAAUCACAGAUUCCAUGGAACGCGUCAUUCUUGGACAGAGUUCAUAUUUUUCAAUGAACUUAUUCCAAAUUUCCAAGUAAAUCUGACAUAAUGACUGGGAUUUUUGAACAUAUUUUCAGUAUUUGAACUUUUGAAGUGACACUGCUUGUGCAAGAAACUCCUCAAGUUUUGAUGUCAGGGUCAUGAAUAUUUGUACAUGUGUGGACCUUCUUAUCAGAUUUACCCGAGCAGGCUAUAUAUAUGAUCAAGCCCCACUUGUCA